UUUCCGUAGGUGAACCUGCGGAAGGAUCAUUAAUGGGAGAUAAUCGGGGCCGCAAGGCCUGUCUGCAUCACCCUUGACUUUUUGUGCACCUUCUGUUUCCUCGGCAGCUCCGCCUGCCAAUGGGGACCCCCAAUAAACCUUUUUGUAAUCUCAGUAUGAACUUUCUGAACAAACCUAAACGUUAAAACUUUCAACAAUGGAUCUCUUGGCUCUGGCAUCGAUGAAGAACGCAGC
Molecule: unclassified non-coding RNA, 234 nt
Filed under: uncultured fungus
Lineage: Eukaryota; Fungi
Description: sequence contains ITS1, 5.8S rRNA gene
Rfam family: 5.8S ribosomal RNA (bases 186-234)
Source: RNAcentral